This is an RNA transcript of Triticum dicoccoides, 1561 nucleotides long. RefSeq lists it as uncharacterized. NCBI's taxonomy places the organism in Eukaryota, Viridiplantae, Streptophyta, Magnoliopsida, Poales, Poaceae. The record is from RefSeq and is a predicted model, not a curated record. The transcript has 3 exons.
UCCAAGCGACGGUUGGCAAACCCACUCUUUUCGUCAAAGAAAAAAAAAGGAAAUGAACGGAUAACCUCCGUAGUUCUUGGAUCGAAAGCGGCGAGCAGUUUCGGCGGCGACGGAGAGAGGUGUCGGCGGCGAGCUCGUGGUAGCUGCUGGUCGACCCCUGAUGAGUGCGGCACUGGGGGUGGAAGGUUGGCCGGAGGCAGCAGCGAGGCGAGCUGUGCUGCAGGAGGCUUCGCGGCGGGUGACGGCUUCGCCCGCCGACGGCCGUGUCGCAGUCCGCAUCGAUCCCCAGCCCCCUUCGUUGCUCGUGGCGAUGGUCCCCUGCUUCCACGCAUGGUCUCUCCACUCCUCCCUCUUGUCUCCUUUCCAUCCUCGCUCACCCUGAUCGAUGUGCUUAAUUGCCUUGCAGGAAGGCCAUCGACUCGUAAGUCUACAAGCUGUCCCACGGCUGCCUUCAUUUCCACCCAGGUUUUAGGUUACUCAAGAUCAACUGAGUGCACUAGGCAUCCAUAGUUGCAAAACGAUUCUGGAUUUUUGCUUGGUAAAUUUUCUGGAAUUACUAAUUUGUGCAUGUAUCGGUCAGCAAUCAAAAUCAUUUGUUGAUCGAGAAGUCCAAAAAUAGUAAGGUCCGUUCUCUUAACUGAAUUUUUAACUUUGCUCCCUAUUGUAUAUAUAUUCACACGAGAAGCAGGUAUUUAGUAAUUUGCUGGUAUAGAAAGAUGGAUCUGUUAUUAAUAGACAUCAAGUAGUUCUUACGUUUCCUAUAGACAAUUCAUUGAGGAUAGGAACAUUGCGUGGAAAUUGAUUUUAUAAAUUAUUACAGAGAUAGCUAAUGAAACUAGAGUUGUACUCCGUAUUAGAACUGUUGCUCUUUAAGGUGUUUUGACUAUUGAGGUUUACUCUGGGUGUUGAAGUGCAACAAUUACUUCUCCCUGGAGGGUCUCUAUACUUUUGCAUGUUUGUAGUAUAUAAUAUCUGGUGUUCCUUCUUUUAAGUUUUUAAUUGUCAAAUUUCAUGUUGUUCUUGUUCCUGUUUGCUCUUUAUCCAAAUCUUCCUGGGAUUUAAAUCAGAAAGGAUGCUCAAUGGGACUUGGUCACGCUGAGAUAUCAGCAGCAAUCGGCACCGACAAAGCUCAAUUAUCUAUUGCAUAUUCAGAAGAAAGCAUCUCCUGUCGACAAUCAAGGCACUAUGACAGGUAGCUCAAGCCUAAGAUGCAAACAUCUCUAGGAAUGGAGUUGCUGACGGUAUGCAAAGAAUGAGACAAUGGUGAUGGUCAGGAUCGAUGUGUCAAGCAUCUGAGACAUAUCGACGUCAAGACAUGGAAGGGGGCUCUCUGCCCUUAUAGAUAGGCCUUCUUACCAUGCUGAAUUACCAACCUGCACAAUUAAUGUGUAUCAAAAUUAACUUUGGAAGAACAUUAAGCAUGCAAACAUAGCUGUGGAGAAUCCUUGAAACAUCUUACCUGCAAUGUUAACUUAAACCUUCUGGAUCAGCAAAUGCUUCAUCCUUCUCUUCAAAUGUAAAUUCUACUGCCCAGAACAAACCAGUUUAAGAGUUACGGGAA